UCCUGUGCAAUUUUGGGAUUU
This 21-nucleotide non-coding RNA is filed under the name Caenorhabditis elegans. Lineage: Eukaryota; Metazoa; Nematoda; Chromadorea; Rhabditida; Rhabditidae. The record is from RNAcentral.